AAGUCGUAACAAGGUCUCCGUUGGUGAACCAGCGGAGGGAUCAUUAAUGAGUUUUCUAAACUCCAAACCCUUGAGAACUUACCUAGUUGCCUCGGCGGACUUACCCGGGAAGACCUACCCUGUAGCGAGUUACCCUGUAGCGAGUUGCCCUGUAGGGACCCGCCCUGUAGUCUGCCCGCCGACGGCCAACCUAAACUCUGUUUUAUUGUGGCACUUCUGAGGAUUAUUCUAAAUGAAUUAAAACUUUCAACAACGGAUCUCUUGGUUCUG
This 270-nucleotide unclassified non-coding RNA is filed under the name air metagenome. RNAcentral describes it as "partial contains small subunit ribosomal RNA, internal transcribed spacer 1, and 5.8S ribosomal RNA". The stretch from base 1 to 46 matches the Rfam family "Eukaryotic small subunit ribosomal RNA", at positions 1786 to 1831 of the family's 1831-position model. The record is from RNAcentral.